This 253-nucleotide ribosomal RNA is filed under the name uncultured bacterium. RNAcentral describes it as "partial 16S ribosomal RNA". It matches the Rfam family "Bacterial small subunit ribosomal RNA", at positions 524 to 776 of the family's 1533-position model. The record is from RNAcentral.
UACAGAGGUCCCGAGCGUUGUUCGGAUUCACUGGGCGUAAAGGGUGCGUAGGUGGUGAGGUAAGUCAGAUGUGAAAUCUCCGAGCUCAACUCGGAAAUGGCAUUGGAAACUACCUUGCUAGAGGAUCGGAGGGGGGACUGGAAUACUUGGUGUAGCAGUGAAAUGCGUAGAUAUCAAGUGGAACACCAGUGGCGAAGGCGAGUCCCUGGACGAUACCUGACACUGAGGCACGAAAGCUAGGGGAGCAAACAGG